RNAcentral lists this unclassified non-coding RNA (269 nucleotides) under uncultured fungus. Its description in RNAcentral is "sequence contains ITS1". The record is from RNAcentral. Lineage: Eukaryota; Fungi.
GUUUUUUAUAACUUUUAUGUAUUUCAACAUUCUAGACAUAUUGUUUGUGAGACAUAGACCUUUCAAAGGGAAAGCCGACCUCUUUUUUUUGAAGGCACAGCAGUCCCCACUCGGAACGAAUUCCAUUUCCCCCUCCAAGGUCUACAAAGUAUGUGCACAGUUGGAGAAAUGAUAAAGAUGACAAGCGUGCACAUACCCCAAGGGGCCAGCAGACAGCCUGCUCAAGUUUUUAUUCAAUAAUGAUCCUUCCGCAGGUUCACCUACGGAAA